This 93-nucleotide transfer RNA is filed under the name Gammaproteobacteria bacterium. RNAcentral describes it as "tRNA-Sec". Lineage: Bacteria; Pseudomonadati; Pseudomonadota; Gammaproteobacteria. The record is from RNAcentral.
UUGCCGGUGGUGGUCGGUGGUCUGGCCCGCAAUGCCUCAAGCGAUGCCGGCGCCAAUGCGCUCAGCAAUGCGCUCGGCGCGCAUGCCGGCAGU